GGUGAAGGUGGCGGACGGGUGAGUAACGCGUAAAGAACUUGCCUUACAGACUGGGACAACAUUUGGAAACGAAUGCUAAUACCGGAUAUUAUGAUUGGGUCGCAUGAUCUGAUUAUGAAAGCUAUAUGCGCUGUGAGAGAGCUUUGCGUCCCAUUAGUUAGUUGGUGAGGUAACGGCUCACCAAGACGAUGAUGGGUAGCCGGCCUGAGAGGGUGAACGGCCACAAGGGGACUGAGACACGGCCCUUACUCCUACGGGAGGCAGCAGUGGGGAAUAUUGGACAAUGGACCAAAAGUCUGAUCCAGCAAUUCUGUGUGCACGAAGAAGUUUUUCGGAAUGUAAAGUGCUUUCAGUUGGGAAGAAGUCAGUGACGGUACCAACAGAAGAAGCGACGGCUAAAUACGUGCCAGCAGCCGCGGUAAUACGUAUGUCGCAAGCGUUAUCCGGAUUUAUUGGGCGUAAAGCGCGUCUAGGCGGCUUAGUAAGUCUGAUGUGAAAAUGCGGGGCUCAACCCCGUAUUGCGUUGGAAACUGCUAAACUAGAGUACUGGAGAGGUAGGCGGAACUACAAGUGUAGAGGUGAAAUUCGUAGAUAUUUGUAGGAAUGCCGAUGGGGAAGCCAGCCUACUGGACAGAUACUGA
Molecule: ribosomal RNA, 641 nt
Filed under: uncultured Fusobacteriota bacterium
Lineage: Bacteria; Fusobacteriati; Fusobacteriota
Description: bacterial SSU rRNA
Rfam family: Bacterial small subunit ribosomal RNA
Source: RNAcentral